UUUCCGUAGGUGAACCUGCGGAAGGAUCAUUAAAGAGUAAGGGUCUUCGGGCCCGAUCUCCAACCCUUUGUUUAACUACCAUGUUGCUUUGGCGGGCCCGCCUCACGACCGCCGGAAGUUUGGCUUCGACCAAACUUCUGGCCCGUGCCAGCCAGUGGCCCCUUCAAAUUCUUGAUCAAGUAUGAUGUCUUAGUUAAAAACUUAAUAGUUAAAACUUUCAACAACGGAUCUCUUGGUUCUG
RNAcentral lists this unclassified non-coding RNA (241 nucleotides) under plant metagenome. Its description in RNAcentral is "partial contains small subunit ribosomal RNA, internal transcribed spacer 1, and 5.8S ribosomal RNA". The record is from RNAcentral.